CCACCGCCCCGCGACGCCAACCCUAGCCGCCCCUUUUCCCCUACCUUCUCCCAGAUCUGGAGUUCGCUACCUGAAUCCCAUGCGUGGUAGGUUUUCUUGUAGGUUUCGGGAUCCAAUCCGUCGCUCCGACGCCGCAACGGUGAGGUUUUCCUCUGAUUUAUAAGGGGGGGAACACGCGCCGUUUGCCUUUUUUUGUGUUCUUACGCAGGUUCAGAGCGAUCUAUCUUGGAUGGAUGGGCGUGUUCGGCUCUCGGCUCGUGGAAACCAUGGAUCGAGGCGCGGAGCGGUAUGGAUCUGGCGGGAAGCUGCUCGUCCUCGCAUUUGGGGUGCUGGAUCUGAGACUGAUCGGACAUGACGAGGCCUUUCCGGGAUGCUCCGUGCGAGUCAACGCGGCAAAACCGGCGGGGUGAGGGCGAAGGCCGGUCAUCGGGAUCCCCUUCAACGCGACCUCGCCCGAUGAUGUCUCUCUGUAUUGAUAAUUAUUGGAUGAAAUUUCGAUAAUUAUUAGAUCUAAGAGAUUUGUUGUUCGAUGGAGCCGAGCCGUGCCGAGAUGAAGGCGGCAAGGUAAGAUGAAAGGUGAAGCUGUAACAAGCGAGGUGCUUGUGUCUGAGGGGGUCAAAAAGAGUAAAAAAAGAGAGAUGUGACAUCGCAAGAUUGGCCUUUGCCAUGUUGGGUGCGCUCGCAUGGCAGGCCACCGUAAUAAAGAUGUUCUUUUGUGUCCCGGGGGGAGUUCGCACGGGGGUUAUUCUGUUUAGCCCCGGGUUCUCCCCCCCAUCUGGUGUCCCCUGUGUUGGUUAUCUCAGACUCCACUGCGACCACAACUUUCAGCAACGAUCGCGCGCGAAUCUAACGUGGAGCUACAGCGCAAGAACCAAGACUUUGUAGCUAUAUCUGAACUAUGUAGAUGAAGAAUCCGGUGAUUUGGUUUCAGUGAAGACAGGAGUAUCCCGACAAAUCAAGUUGGUUGAGCUGAUUGAUUCCUCUGAAAUCUUGCAUCUGAAGACGAGAGGAUUGUUCCCUGCUUUGAAGCUGUGUGUGACAUAUUCGGUACAUUGUGCAGUUGCUAUCACCUUACCAAUUGAGGUGCUAAUCAAGUUUGAUUAGUUUAAUACUAGUCACUAUUGAGCUAUUUACCUGUAGCAUAUGGUUUGGUCACUAAUUGGAAAUCAUGAAAUUCUAUUUGGUGAUUUGGUGAUAAUAAUCACGACGUCAUGUAUAAGUUAAAUUUCUACCGUGAAAUUAACUAAUGUCUGCUUUGGAGGUUC
Molecule: long non-coding RNA, 1265 nt
Organism: Oryza brachyantha (malo sina)
Lineage: Eukaryota; Viridiplantae; Streptophyta; Magnoliopsida; Poales; Poaceae
Exons: 3
Source: RefSeq, a predicted model, not a curated record